RNAcentral lists this ribosomal RNA (109 nucleotides) under Otolemur garnettii (small-eared galago). Lineage: Eukaryota; Metazoa; Chordata; Mammalia; Primates; Galagidae. The record is from RNAcentral.
CCAUAGGUGUAGUCCCACCUGAACGUGCCCGAUCUUGCCUGAUCUUGGAAGCUAAGCAGGGUCAGGCCUGGUCAGUAGUUGGAUGGGAGAAAACCCAGUUUUUCAUUGA